GAUCCUGGCUCAGAUUGAACGCUGGCGGCAGGCUUAACACAUGCAAGUCGAACGGUAACAUAAAGAAGCUUGCUUCUUUGAUGACGAGUGGCGGACGGGUGAGUAAUGCUUGGGAAUCUAGCUUAUGGAGGGGGAUAACUACGGGAAACUGUAGCUAAUACCGCGUAAUAUCGAAAGAUUAAAGUGUGGGACCUUCGGGCCACAUGCCAUAGGAUGAGCCCAAGUGGGAUUAGGUAGUUGGUGAGGUAAGGG
This 252-nucleotide ribosomal RNA is filed under the name uncultured bacterium. Its description in RNAcentral is "partial 16S ribosomal RNA". It matches the Rfam family "Bacterial small subunit ribosomal RNA", at positions 15 to 263 of the family's 1533-position model. The record is from RNAcentral.